AACGCGAAGAACCUUACCUGGGCUCGAAAUGUAGUGGAAUCCGGUAGAAAUAUCGGCGCCUAGCAAUAGGCCGCUAUAUAGGUGCUGCAUGGCUGUCGUCAGCUCGUGUCGUGAGAUGUUGGGUUAAGUCCCGCAACGAGCGCAACCCUCAUCCCUAGUUGCCACCGGGUAAUGCCGAGCACUCUAGUGAAACCGCCCCGGAUAACGGGGAGGAAGGUGGGGAUGACGUCAAGUCCUCAUGGCCUUUAUGUCCAGGGCUACACACGUGCUACAAUGGUCGGUACAAACCGUCGCGAGACCGCAAGGUGGAGCUAAUCGGAAAAAGCCGGCCUCAGUUCGGAUUGGAGUCUGCAACUCGACUCCAUGAAGCUGGAAUCGCUAGUAAUCGCAGAUCAGAACGCUGCGGUGAAUACGUUCCCGGGCCUUGUACACACCGGCUAC
RNAcentral lists this ribosomal RNA (441 nucleotides) under uncultured bacterium. Its description in RNAcentral is "bacterial SSU rRNA". It matches the Rfam family "Bacterial small subunit ribosomal RNA", at positions 958 to 1397 of the family's 1533-position model. The record is from RNAcentral.